RNAcentral lists this ribosomal RNA (1037 nucleotides) under Flavobacterium sp. LS36-MRL. Its description in RNAcentral is "bacterial SSU rRNA". It matches the Rfam family "Bacterial small subunit ribosomal RNA", at positions 96 to 1137 of the family's 1533-position model. The record is from RNAcentral. Lineage: Bacteria; Pseudomonadati; Bacteroidota; Flavobacteriia; Flavobacteriales; Flavobacteriaceae.
CGGCGCACGGGUGCGUAACGCGUAUGCAAUCUACCUUUUACAAAGGAAUAGCCCAGAGAAAUUUGGAUUAAUGCCUUAUAGUUUAUGCUUGUGGCAUCACAUACAUAAUAAAGAUUUAUCGGUAAAAGAUGAGCAUGCGUCCCAUUAGCUAGUUGGUAUGGUAACGGCAUACCAAGGCAAUGAUGGGUAGGGGUCCUGAGAGGGAGAUCCCCCACACUGGUACUGAGACACGGACCAGACUCCUACGGGAGGCAGCAGUGAGGAAUAUUGGUCAAUGGAGGCAACUCUGAACCAGCCAUGCCGCGUGCAGGAAGACGGUCCUAUGGAUUGUAAACUGCUUUUAUACAGGAAUAAACCUAUCCUCGUGAGGAUAGCUGAAGGUACUGUAGGAAUAAGGAUCGGCUAACUCCGUGCCAGCAGCCGCGGUAAUACGGAGGAUCCAAGCGUUAUCCGGAAUCAUUGGGUUUAAAGGGUUCGUAGGCGGUUUAAUAAGUCAGUGGUGAAAUCUCCUAGCUUAACUAGGAAAUGGCCAUUGAUACUGUUAGACUUGAAUUAUUGGGAAGUAACUAGAAUAUGUAGUGUAGCGGUGAAAUGCUUAGAUAUUACAUGGAAUACCAAUUGCGAAGGCAGGUUACUAUCAAUACAUUGACGCUGAUGAACGAAAGCGUGGGUAGCGAACAGGAUUAGAUACCCUGGUAGUCCACGCCGUAAACGAUGGAUACUAGCUGUUCGACCGCAAGGUUGAGUGGCUAAGCGAAAGUGAUAAGUAUCCCACCUGGGGAGUACGUUCGCAAGAAUGAAACUCAAAGGAAUUGACGGGGGCCCGCACAAGCGGUGGAGCAUGUGGUUUAAUUCGAUGAUACGCGAGGAACCUUACCAGGGCUUAAAUGUAGAUUGACCGUUUUGGAAACAUUACUUUCGCAAGACAAUUUACAAGGUGCUGCAUGGUUGUCGUCAGCUCGUGCCGUGAGGUGUCAGGUUAAGUCCUAUAACGAGCGCAACCCCUAUCGUUAGUUGCCAGCGGGUCAUGCCGGGAA